GAUGAACGCUGGCGGCGUGCUUAACACAUGCAAGUCGAACGGUGAAAGAGAGCUUGCUCUCUGGAUCAGUGGCGAGCGGGUGAGUAACACGUGAGCAAUCUGCCCCUGACUCUGGGAUAAGCGCUGGAAACGGCGUCUAAUACCGGAUACGAGCUGCGAAGGCAUCUUCAGCAGCUGGAAAGAACUUCGGUCAGGGAUGAGCUCGCGGCCUAUCAGCUAGUUGGUGAGGUAACGGCUCACCAAGGCGUCGACGGGUAGCCGGCCUGAGAGGGUGACCGGCCACACUGGGACUGAGACACGGCCCAGACUCCUACGGGAGGCAGCAGUGGGGAAUAUUGCACAAUGGGCGAAAGCCUGAUGCAGCAACGCCGCGUGAGGGACGACGGCCUUCGGGUUGUAAACCUCUUUUAGCAGGGAAGAAGCGAAAGUGACGGUACCUGCAGAAAAAGCACCGGCUAACUACGUG
RNAcentral lists this ribosomal RNA (466 nucleotides) under uncultured bacterium. RNAcentral describes it as "partial 16S ribosomal RNA". It matches the Rfam family "Bacterial small subunit ribosomal RNA", at positions 28 to 507 of the family's 1533-position model. The record is from RNAcentral.